UUACAUUUUAAUAUUUUAUGAUGUAUUUAAAUGAGUAGUUAUUGUUGCAAACUCCAUUAGAAAUUUGAAUUGAGAUCAGUUUUGGAAAAAGGGAAAGGGGGAUGUGAAAAAAAAAUGGGGGGGGGGGGGGGUUAAAUUUUUCUCAUUUCAGAUUUCAUAAAUAAAAAGAAAAUUUCUUCAAACAUUUUUUUGAGAGGAUUAAUAUUCAACAGCAUAGUGAAUUGCUCAAAGGCAAACAAAAUAUUUUAAGUUCAUUAGACCACAUUCAUUCUGUGUCAGAAACCUAUGCUGUGUCAACUAUUUAAUCACAA
Molecule: long non-coding RNA, 311 nt
Filed under: Mytilus galloprovincialis (Mediterranean mussel)
Lineage: Eukaryota; Metazoa; Mollusca; Bivalvia; Mytilida; Mytilidae
Source: RNAcentral